UACACUCCUGCGGGAGGCAGCAGUGGGGAAUUUUGGACAAUGGGCGAAAGCCUGAUCCAGCAAUGCCGCGUGUGUGAAGAAGGCCUUCGGGUUGUAAAGCACUUUUGUCCGGAAAGAAAUCCUUGGCUCUAAUACAGUCGGGGGAUGACGGUACCGGAAGAAUAAGCACCGGCUAACUACGUGCCAGCAGCCGCGGUAAUACGUAGGGUGCGAGCGUUAAUCGGAAUUACUGGGCGUAAAGCGUGCGCAGGCGGUUUGCUAAGACCGAUGUGAAAUCCCCGGGCUCAACCUGGGAACUGCAUUGGUGACUGGCAGGCUAGAGUAUGGCAGAGGGGGGUAGAAUUCCACGUGUAGCAGUGAAAUGCGUAGAGAUGUGGAGGAAUACCGAUGGCGAAGGCAGCCCCCUGGGCCAAUACUGACGCUCAUGCACGAAAGCGUGGGGAGCAAACAGGAUUAGAUACCCCUGUAGUCCCAUG
This 476-nucleotide ribosomal RNA is filed under the name uncultured organism. Its description in RNAcentral is "partial 16S ribosomal RNA". It matches the Rfam family "Bacterial small subunit ribosomal RNA", at positions 332 to 799 of the family's 1533-position model. The record is from RNAcentral.